Molecule: unclassified non-coding RNA, 568 nt
Filed under: Aspergillus sp. FLN12c
Lineage: Eukaryota; Fungi; Ascomycota; Eurotiomycetes; Eurotiales; Aspergillaceae
Description: Emericella sp. FLN12c sequence contains 18S rRNA gene, ITS1, 5.8S rRNA gene, ITS2 and 28S rRNA gene
Rfam family: 5.8S ribosomal RNA (bases 187-340)
Source: RNAcentral
UCCCGUAGGUGAACCUUGCGGAAGGAUCAUUACCGAGUGCGGGCUGCCUCCGGGCGCCCAACCUCCCACCCGUGACUACCUAACACUGUUGCUUCGGCGGGGAGCCCCCCAGGGGCGAGCCGCCGGGGACCACUGAACUUCAUGCCUGAGAGUGAUGCAGUCUGAGCCUGAAUACAAAUCAGUCAAAACUUUCAACAAUGGAUCUCUUGGUUCCGGCAUCGAUGAAGAACGCAGCGAACUGCGAUAAGUAAUGUGAAUUGCAGAAUUCAGUGAAUCAUCGAGUCUUUGAACGCACAUUGCGCCCCCUGGCAUUCCGGGGGGCAUGCCUGUCCGAGCGUCAUUGCUGCCCUCAAGCCCGGCUUGUGUGUUGGGUCGUCGUCCCCCCCGGGGGACGGGCCCGAAAGGCAGCGGCGGCACCGUGUCCGGUCCUCGAGCGUAUGGGGCUUUGUCACCCGCUCGAUUAGGGCCGGCCGGGCGCCAGCCGGCGUCUCCAACCUUAUUUUUCUCAGGUUGACCUCGGAUCAGGUAGGGAUACCCGCUGAACUUAAGCAUAUCAAUAAGCGGAGGA